UCUGGAAUGCUGAAAACAUUUUCUUCCCCUGUAGAUAAGGUUGUGCAGGUCAGUAUGUUGAGAACUGGACUUAGUUCAGUGCUAGUGUUUUGAACCUGGUAUGUUUUUGCAGCUUCCUGUCAAUUUUCAAGUCAUUUGGAGUCCAGUAGCUUGUGUUUUGAUUGCUGUCAAAAGGCUUCAGAACAGAAACAGAAACUCAGGUGCAGAAAUUUUCACUAAGUCC
RNAcentral lists this long non-coding RNA (223 nucleotides) under Hordeum vulgare. Its description in RNAcentral is "long non-coding RNA (HVUL_LNC018194)". The record is from RNAcentral. Lineage: Eukaryota; Viridiplantae; Streptophyta; Magnoliopsida; Poales; Poaceae.